This 783-nucleotide ribosomal RNA is filed under the name Triticum aestivum (bread wheat). Its description in RNAcentral is "partial small subunit ribosomal RNA". The record is from RNAcentral. Lineage: Eukaryota; Viridiplantae; Streptophyta; Magnoliopsida; Poales; Poaceae.
CGACUUAGAGUAACAAUUGAUGCACUACGGUGGUUAGCAUUCCAAGCUUGUCCCUUUCGAGGACAUGAUGAAACUCUUGAUUCAAGAAACCAAGGCAAUGUUCUUGAAAUGGUUAAAUUGGUAGCUUCUUAUGAUGAGAAAAUUGGUGCAGUUGUAUUGGGUAAUGCUCCUGUGAAUGCAAAGUAUACCUCACAUCCAAUUCAAACAGAAAUUCUGCACAUAAUUGCUUCCAAUGUGCAAAGGGAAAUUCGUAAAGAAAUUGGUGAUGCUAAGUUCUGCUUGCUUGUUGAUGAGUCAAGAGAUGAAGCAAAAAGGGAGCAAAUGGCAGUGGUUAUUCAUUUUGUUGAUAAACCCGGUUUCACUCAGGAGCGUUUUAUUGAUAUUGUUCAUGUCGCAGAUACAUCCUCGGCUACUCUAAAACAAGAGUUAUCUUCUAUUUUGGCUCAAUAUCAGUUAGAUGUGCACAAUAUCCGUGGACAAGGAUACGAUGGUGCUAGUAACAUGCGUGGGGAGUGGAACGGACUACAAGCCAAGUUCAUGGAAGAGUGUCCCUAUGCAUAUUACAUCCAUUGUUUUGCUCAUCAAUUGCAGCUUGCUCUAGUUGCUGCAUCUAAAGAAGUAGCUGAUGUGCACAACUUUUUUGACCAUCUUGCUCUUGUUGUCAAUACUGUGUCUUCUAGUAAGAGAAGUGAUGAGCUACAUGCUAAUCAAGUUGCUGAAAUGGAGCGUCUGAUUGAGCUAUGUGAGCUUGAAACUGGAAGUGGGGCUAAUCUUGCUUCAUAG